RNAcentral lists this ribosomal RNA (505 nucleotides) under Alkalibacterium sp. M9-C6. RNAcentral describes it as "bacterial SSU rRNA". It matches the Rfam family "Bacterial small subunit ribosomal RNA", at positions 1 to 492 of the family's 1533-position model. Lineage: Bacteria; Bacillati; Bacillota; Bacilli; Lactobacillales; Carnobacteriaceae. The record is from RNAcentral.
UUGAGCUUGAAUCCUGGCUCAGGACGAACGCUGGCGGUAUGCCUAAUACAUGCAAGUCGAACGCUGAAGCACUCUGCUUGCAGAGUGUGGAUGAGUGGCGAACGGGUGAGUAACACGUGGGGAACCUGCCCAUAAGAGGGGGAUAACAUCCGGAAACGGGUGCUAAUACCGCAUAGGUGAUCAUAGCGCAUGCUUAGAUCAUUAAAGAUGGCUUCGGCUAUCGCUUAUGGAUGGCCCCGCGGCGUAUUAGCUAGUUGGUGAGGUAAUGGCUCACCAAGGCUGUGAUACGUAGCCGACCUGAGAGGGUGAUCGGCCACACUGGAACUGAGACACGGUCCAGACUCCUACGGGAGGCAGCAGUAGGGAAUCUUCCACAAUGGGCGAAAGCCUGAUGGAGCAAUACCGCGUGAGUGAAGAAGGUCUUCGGAUCGUAAAGCUCUGUUGUUAGAGAAGAACAAGAGGUGUAGUAACUGGCACCUCCUUGACGGUAUCUAACCAGAAUCCG